Molecule: long non-coding RNA, 1676 nt
Organism: Triticum aestivum (bread wheat)
Lineage: Eukaryota; Viridiplantae; Streptophyta; Magnoliopsida; Poales; Poaceae
Exons: 4
Source: RefSeq, a predicted model, not a curated record
UCAUCCCUCCAUCGUCGGCUGCAUCCCUCACCCACGUCGCUGUUGCAGGAUCUUCAUCCGUCAUCCUGAGCAAUUGGGGCGGCGAUGCGGGCGAGCUUCACGAUAGUGGGGAGGACCAGGCCGCGGUGAAGGCAGGUCAUGCGCUCCUCACGCUCCACGAACGGAACCUGCGCACGGAGGCGGUAGCGCGGGGUGGCAGCCGGCAAUGAGGCGGCCGCGCUACGUGACGAGCUACGGGUCCCCCUUUGUGAUGUUUUGGCAUCGCUCCUUCAUCGCACAUCCUCAGGUUCCUCUUGCCCUUCCCUUCCUCUGUCCUCCUCUCCCAUCUCUAUGCUUUCACGUGCAUCCAGUUUUGAUUCCUCGUGUGAUAUAUACCAAACAUAGGUACGUCAAUUCACUUCCUUCCCUUCCCUUCGUCCCUCGGUCCCACGCUCGUGGCGCUGAAGUGGUGGCAACAGGCGAUGGCGGUGGUGUCGCUGAUGGCGGCGAGGACAGCAUGUGGCAGCUCCCGAAGCAUGAACACGACCGCACCUCGGGCCUGCCGUCUGCCAAGAUAUGGCUCUGGCCGAUUGACAAUGGAGGUUUGGGAUCCUUCCUCUCAGCACCCACUCCUGGAAGAAUCAGCGGUGCGCCACGCCGAUUGAACCCCGUCGAGAUCACUCGCCAAGAUUGCUAUUCUGAAGUUUAUUGUAAAGAAAGUGAAGAGUGAGACAGGAUCCGUUUAUUUUCAACCGGUUUAUUUUCAACGGUUUAUUUUCGUUUGGUUAUAUUUCGUCUGGUUUAUUUUCGUCCGGUUUAUUUUCGUCUCAUAUCCCACCACCAUAUCUCCUCACAUUGAUUUUUUUACCCUCACAAUAAAAACUUUCCUAACUUUUCCAAAGUUUCCUAACUAGACACGUUAUAAACGGGCAUGUACCGAUAGCACGUUAUCAAUUAAUAAAAUUUUGUUUUAUGACAAUCAAUUCCAAAUCCUAAUUUUCCUAAUGCAUCGAUCUUUGCCUUUUUUAAGUAGUUAUUUUGAUAGGGAGGGUUUAGCCACGAAAAUCAUCCCUCCAUCGUCGGCUGCAUCCCUCACCCACGUCGCUGUUGCAGGAUCUUCAUCCGUCAUCCUGAGCAAUUGGGGCGGCGAUGCGGGCGAGCUUCACGAUAGUGGGGAGGACCAGGCCGCGGUGAAGGCAGGUCAUGCGCUCCUCACGCUCCACGAACGGAACCUGCGCACGGAGGCGGUAGCGCGGGGUGGCAGCCGGCAAUGAGGCGGCCGCGCUACGUGACGAGCUACGGGUCCCCCUUUGUGAUGUUUUGGCAUCGCUCCUUCAUCGCACAUCCUCAGGUACGUCAAUUCACUUCCUUCCCUUCCCUUCGUCCCUCGGUCCCACGCUCGUGGCGCUGAAGUGGUGGCAACAGGCGAUGGCGGUGGUGUCGCUGAUGGCGGCGAGGACAGCAUGUGGCAGCUCCCGAAGCAUGAACACGACCGCACCUCGGGCCUGCCGUCUGCCAAGAUAUGGCUCUGGCCGAUUGACAAUGGAGGUUUGGGAUCCUUCCUCUCAGCACCCACUCCUGGAAGAAUCAGCGGUGCGCCACGCCGAUUGAACCCCGUCGAGAUCACUCGCCAAGAUUGCUAUUCUGAAGUUUAUUGUAAAGAAAGUGAAGAGUGAGACAGGAUCCGUUUAUUUUCA